This 405-nucleotide ribosomal RNA is filed under the name uncultured bacterium. RNAcentral describes it as "bacterial SSU rRNA". It matches the Rfam family "Bacterial small subunit ribosomal RNA", at positions 355 to 776 of the family's 1533-position model. The record is from RNAcentral.
UGAGGAAUAUUGCACAAUGGGCGCAAGCCUGAUGCAGCGACGCCGCGUGGGUGAAGAAGGAUUUCGGUCUGUAAAGCCCUUUUCUGUGUGACGAGAAUGGACGGUAGCACAGGAAUAAGUCUCGGCUAACUACGUGCCAGCAGCCGCGGUAAAACGUAGGAGGCAAGCGUUAUCCGGAGUUACUGGGCGUAAAGGGCGUGCAGGUGGUUCAAUAAGUUGGUUAUGAAAGCUCCUGGCUAAACUGGGAGAGGUUGACCAAGACUGUUGAACUUGAGUGGAUGAGAGGUAAACGGAAUUCCGCGUGUAGUGGUGAAAUGCGUAGAGAUGCGGAGGAACACCAGUGGCGAAGGCGGUUUACUGGCAUCCAACUGACACUGAGACGCGAAAGCAUGGGUAGCGAACGGG